Molecule: unclassified non-coding RNA, 231 nt
Filed under: Termitomyces sp. Group5
Lineage: Eukaryota; Fungi; Basidiomycota; Agaricomycetes; Agaricales; Lyophyllaceae
Description: ITS2
Source: RNAcentral
AAUUCUCAACCUAACCAGCUUUUGCGAGCUUGGUUAGGCUUGGACCGUGGGGGCUUUUGCGGGCUUCACUUUGAAGUCAGCUCCCCUAAAAUGCAUUAGUGGAAACCCUUUGUUGACCUGUUCCUGGUGUGAUAAUUAUCUACAUCGCGUGCAGUCGGCUGUUUAAUGGGCUUUUUCUGCUUCUAACCCUUGUGUUUCCACCCUGUUACGGGGGGAACGCUUUUUGACCAU